This 759-nucleotide ribosomal RNA is filed under the name Prymnesium calathiferum. RNAcentral describes it as "bacterial SSU rRNA". It matches the Rfam family "Bacterial small subunit ribosomal RNA", at positions 529 to 1296 of the family's 1533-position model. Lineage: Eukaryota; Haptophyta; Prymnesiales; Prymnesiaceae. The record is from RNAcentral.
GGGAUGCAAGCGUUAUCCGGAAUCAUUGGGCGUAAAGCGCCUGUAGGUUGUUUAAUAAGUCUGUUGUUAAAGACUAGGGCUCAACCCUAGAAAAGCAAUGGAAACUACUAGACUUGAGUAUGGCAGGGGUAGAGGGAAUUUCUAGUGUAGCGGUGAAAUGCGUAGAUAUUAGAAAGAACACCGGUGGCGAAAGCGCUCUACUGGACCAUUACUGACACUCAGAGGCGAAAGCUAGGGUAGCAAAAGGGAUUAGAUACCCCUGUAGUCCUAGCCGUAAACGAUGGAUACUAGAUGUUGUGUUUAUUUUACAGUAUCGUAGCUAACGCGUUAAGUAUCCCGCCUGGGGAGUACGCUCGCAAGGGUGAAACUCAAAGGAAUUGACGGGGGCCCGCACAAGCGGUGGAGCAUGUGGUUUAAUUCGAUGCAACGCGAAGAACCUUACCAGGGCUUGACAUACUGCGAAUCUCCUUGAAAGGGGAGAGUGCCUUCGGGAAUGCAGAUACAGGUGGUGCAUGGCUGUCGUCAGCUCGUGUCGUGAGAUGUUGGGUUAAGUCCCGCAACGAGCGCAACCCUUAUUUUUAGUUACCAAUUCGUUGGGUUCUCUAGAAAGACUGCCGGUGACAAACCGGAGGAAGGUGAGGAUGACGUCAAGUCAGCAUGCCCCUUAUGUCCUGGGCUACACACGUGCUACAAUGGUUGGGACAAAGAGUUGCAAGUUUGCAAGAACAAGCUAAUCUCGUAAACCCAACCUAAGUUCAG